GACGAACCGUGCGAACGUUAUUCGGAAUCACUGGGCUUAAAGCGCGUGUAGGCGGCCACGCAGGUCCGCUGUGAAAACUCGAGGCUCAACCUCGAGCUGUCGGUGGAAACCGCGUGGCUAGAGUCCGGAAGAGGGGACUGGAAUUCCCGGUGUAGCGGUGGAAUGCGCAGAUAUCGGGAGGAACACCCGUGGCGAAGGCGGGUCCCUGGGACGGUACUGACGCGAGACGCGAAAGCGUGGGGAGGCGAAACAGG
RNAcentral lists this ribosomal RNA (254 nucleotides) under uncultured bacterium. RNAcentral describes it as "partial 16S ribosomal RNA". It matches the Rfam family "Bacterial small subunit ribosomal RNA", at positions 524 to 776 of the family's 1533-position model. The record is from RNAcentral.